Molecule: long non-coding RNA, 690 nt
Organism: Mytilus trossulus (common blue mussel)
Lineage: Eukaryota; Metazoa; Mollusca; Bivalvia; Mytilida; Mytilidae
Exons: 3
Source: RefSeq, a predicted model, not a curated record
AGACGAAUGCAGCAGUAAUCCGUGUCGACACAACGGCACAUGUAUAGACCUUAUUGACGAAUACAUAUGCCAGUGUACAAAUGAAUCAAAAGGAGAUAACUGCGAAAAGUGGCUCAACCAUUGUUCCUCAGAUCCUUGUCUUCAUGGUGGUGAGUGCACUAAUGAAUAUGGUGGUUAUAGUUGUGACUGCCCUGAACCAUGGUAUGGAGAUAUAUGUGAAAACAAAGAAAUAAAUAGAACAGGGGUUUGCACCGAUCUAGAAUACACAGACUGCUCAUGUUUCAUCACCAAACUUAAUCCUUUAAAACGGAAAUCUUUUAAAAUGGAGAGUGGAAUAAUAGGAUUAUUGACUGGACUGCUUGGUACAAUCUUACUUUAUAUAAUAUGGAAUCACCAAGGAAAUAAGCUAACCAAAAUUAAUAAAAUACACAUUACAAAACCAAAUGAUGUCAUGACCGUAUCUGAUUUUGAAUCAGAAAUAUCAAGUAAUUACAAUGAGGAUGAAAACCAGAAAGAUUCAGAAAAAGAUGGAGACACAAACGGUCCUAAAGGAUGUGAUUGCUUUGUAGAUCACACUGGAUACGAUCAUUUUCAAAGAUUUGAUGAAAAAUUGAGAUAUAAAUACAAAUUCCAUAAGCACAACUGUCAAAAUAAGAAACAACUUUCAAAAUCAACUAGCCUCUUUAAGAU